UACGUAGGGGGCUAGCGUUGUCCGGAAUCAUUGGGCGUAAAGAGCGUGUAGGCUGCUCGGUAAGUCCGCUGUAAAAGUCAAAGGCUCAACCUUUGAAUGUCAGUGGAUACUGCCGGGCUAGAGUCCGGAAGAGGCGAGUGGAACUCCUGGUGUAGCGGUGGAAUGCGCAGAUAUCAGGAGGAACACCGGUGGCGAAGGCGGGAUCCUGGGCCAGUACUGACGCUGAGGAGCGAAAGCGUGGGGAGCAACAGG
RNAcentral lists this ribosomal RNA (252 nucleotides) under uncultured bacterium. RNAcentral's name for it is "partial 16S ribosomal RNA". It matches the Rfam family "Bacterial small subunit ribosomal RNA", at positions 524 to 775 of the family's 1533-position model. The record is from RNAcentral.